RNAcentral lists this unclassified non-coding RNA (148 nucleotides) under uncultured Mortierella. RNAcentral's name for it is "sequence contains ITS1". The record is from RNAcentral. Lineage: Eukaryota; Fungi; Mortierellomycota; Mortierellomycetes; Mortierellales; Mortierellaceae.
UAAUAAGUGUUUUAUGGCACUUUUUAAAUCCAUAUCCACCUUGUGUGCAAUGUCGGCCGAUCUUUCUUUUUUUGGAAGAUCAGCCAAACAUCAACUUAUUUUUUUAACUCUUUGUCUGAAAAAUAUUAUGAAUAAACAAUUCAAAAUA